UUCAAAUUAAUUUAAAACACAUAGAAAUUGGAAUAACACAGUUAAGAUAAGCAUGAUCCCUGAACAAAAAUGACAUGAAAAUCUGUGAAGUAUUUCAUAUUUUU
RNAcentral lists this small nuclear RNA (104 nucleotides) under Notamacropus eugenii (tammar wallaby). The record is from RNAcentral. Lineage: Eukaryota; Metazoa; Chordata; Mammalia; Diprotodontia; Macropodidae.